This 23-nucleotide microRNA is filed under the name Cervus elaphus (red deer). RNAcentral's name for it is "cel-miR-181c-3p". The record is from RNAcentral. Lineage: Eukaryota; Metazoa; Chordata; Mammalia; Artiodactyla; Cervidae.
ACCAUCGACCGUUGAGUGGACCU